UAGAGUUUGAUCAUGGCUCAGAUUGAACGCUGGCGGCAGGCUUAACACAUGCAAGUCGAGCGGAAACGAUGGGAGCUUGCUCCCAGGCGUCGAGCGGCGGACGGGUGAGUAACGCGUAGGAAUCUGCCCAGUAGAGGGGGAUAGCCCGAGGAAACUCGGAUUAAUACCGCAUACGCCCUACGGGGGAAAGGCCGGGAUCUUCGGACCGGUCACUAUUGGAUGAGCCUGCGUUGGAUUAGCUAGUUGGUGGGGUAAAGGCCUACCAAGGCGACGAUCCAUAGCUGGUCUGAGAGGAUGAUCAGCCACACUGGGGCUGAGACACGGCCCAGACUCCUACGGGAGGCAGCAGUGGGGAAUAUUGGACAAUGGGCGCAAGCCUGAUCCAGCCAUGCCGCGUGUGUGAAGAAGGCUCUAGGGUUGUAAAGCACUUUCAGUAGGGAGGAAGGCCAAAAAGUUAAUAGCUUUUUGGAUUGACGUUACCUACAGAAGCAGCACCGGCUAACUCCGUGCCAGCAGCCGCGGUAAUACGGAGGGUGCAAGCGUUAAUCGGAAUUACUGGGCGUAAAGCGCGCGUAGGCGGUUUGGUAAGUGUGAUGUGAAAGCCCAGGGCUCAACCUUGGAACUGCAUCACAUACUGCCAGGCUAGAGUACUGUAGAGGGGGGUAGAAUUUCA
RNAcentral lists this ribosomal RNA (673 nucleotides) under uncultured Vibrionaceae bacterium. Its description in RNAcentral is "bacterial SSU rRNA". It matches the Rfam family "Bacterial small subunit ribosomal RNA", at positions 1 to 671 of the family's 1533-position model. The record is from RNAcentral. Lineage: Bacteria; Pseudomonadati; Pseudomonadota; Gammaproteobacteria; Vibrionales; Vibrionaceae.